UUUGUGGGAAGUAUGAAGGAGCUGCUGGUUACAUCAGCACAAGGCAGCUUAUGUAUGAGAAAGGUUGCACAACACAUUGGGAAAAAGACAUAGGACAGACCAUGACAUCAAGGGCAAAGACCCUGAUAGACCUUUGAACAUCUGACCAUCUUGUAAACCUCACAUCUGCUCCAGUGAGCCCAGCUUUCUGCUUACAACGCCAUAGACCCUUUUAUACGUGUUUUUGCAAAGUUACUGAUAAACGCUGACAAGAUAAACCACCGAGCGGCUACAGGCAAGGAUAAAAGAAAGCUGAAAGAAGGGAGGAAAAAGACCAGCAGAGGCUACAGCCACCAAACGGCCGUCGGGGCUGGGGCAUCUCCCCGCGACCUCCCCUGGCGGUGCCGUCCUCCGAGAGUGCCACCCGGCCGGUCUCACCUCUCCGAAGCUGUGCGCCCCCCGGCGGUCCCGCCGCCUGCCCCGGGUCGCCGCUGUCCGCCUCUCGUGUUCGCGCUCCGUGUGAAAGCGAGGCGGUCGGAUUUCCGCUGGUUUGCUGUCUGUUUCUCCGCAGCCGCCUGUUCCCAAGCACUAUUGUCUCAUCACGAACGAGCUCGCCCUCCCCAGCCUCUGUGUUAGAGUGAGUGCAGGAAAGGCCCUGCCUUAUGGUUUGUAAAGAUAACUUAUAUCAGUGCUGUCAAGUCACUUACUGUAUUAAUUACCUCUGACCUGACUGCACUCUGCAGCACUUCUACAAUGUUGCAUUUUCCUAACAACUGCUCAUGCUAGAUGAGUCCAAAGCUCAGAUGAGCAGAAGCAUGUCUAUGGCUACCCAAUAAAUACCAGCAAUAAAAAUUUCAAAGGUUCACCUAUCCCCGCCCUGAUGCCUGCCUGUACCCAGACAUGCCAAUGCAGUGGGCAGAACAGAUACCUGUACCUUGUGCAGCUGCUGGCAGGAGUCAAGAGCCAGGAAGGUUUGUGAGGAUACUGAAACAGGUGUAGCAAAGGGUACUGAAAGAGGUGUGACAAGAGCCAUGGGUACGGUCACAGUGCAGGCAUGCUGAAUAAGGAUGUUAUUUUCAGUUGCUCUGUGGGGCAGAAGUGGACUUGAGUUUGUUUUCUUUGCAUUUUAAGUUCCCCCUUCAAGGAAAAUCUGCCUACGUGGAAAACUUUUGCCCUAUUACUUCACCAGACAUGCACAUUUCUCUGUGUCCAAGCGUAUUUCAAUCCUAAACACCAUGGAGCCUACACUGUGCUGCAGUGGCAACCCUUCAUCAUGUGCCUGGCACAGUGAAAAAAAAAGACAGUGUGCUUGGAAGCAGAGGUGAGUUGCUGUGAUCAGGAACUUCUCCACGUGGUGCCUGCACACAUCCUGACAGAAUAGAAAUGGAGACCCAAGGAAUGGAAAGGAACCAGAUCUGACAACUUAAGCAUCCUGAUGGAGGCCCUGGCUUUCCCCCAUCCCAUUCCUGAAGCAACAAUCUUUUGGACUUCCUCUGGUCUUCUGGGCUUUUGAUCUUCAGAAUUCAUCUCCUUCCCAGCUGGUAAGUCUGGGAAGAAGGGCAAGUGCUCUUCCUUGCUCUGGGCACAUGAUGUGCCACCACUGCCCUCUUACUUCUGACCGCAGCAGGAAAAUUGCAAAUGAAGCUAGCAGCAGCAAAGAAAUAGGAAGGAAGUAUUUUCUAACUGUAUCAUUUUACUGACAUAAUUGAUUUAAAUCAUGCUGUUGCUGAGGCAGAUUUCUGCCCAUACAGGAACAAAAACCAGUGGCCAGGGCUGUGGCAUGAGACACAGCAAGCCUAAGGAGAGCCCCAUGUCAAACACUGCAUUUUUCUGUCAUACCGGUACCGAGGCCUCAACAUCCUCUGAAUAAAGAAUUUCUUCCUAACAUCUAAUCUAAAUCUCCCCUCUUCUAGUUAAAAGCCAUUCCCCUUGUCCUAUCACUAUCUAAACCAUGUAAAACGUCAAUCCACCUCCUGCUUGUAAGCUCCCCUCAGGUACUGGAAGGCCACAAUGAGGUCUCUCCAGAUCCUUCUUCAAGUUAAACAAGCCCAACUCCCUGAAGUUUUCUUCAUAUGGGAGGUGCUCCAGCCCUCUGAUCAUCUUUGUGACCCUCCUCUGGACUCACUCCAACAGCUCCGAAUCAUUCUCAGUUAAGGCUAAUUUGAACACUGCUCCUUUCUUACAGAAUCUGGUCAUGCCAGACAUCUUGCAUGUCCCACAGCACACAGUGUGGAGAAGUUACUAAGUACCAUGAGUUCCUCUAUCUUCUGAAGGUUCUGGCCUCUUCUCUCCUUUUCGCAACCUGAGUAACAGGAUUGCAAAAACAUCAAUUUGCAGGGGGUGCUGGGUGUUCCCUGGAGUCCAGCUUUCCAUUUGGGCCAGGUCUUGCCACCACACAGUCAACACAGACGUGGCUCUGUCUAGCUGAAUCACCAGUCAGAAUUUUUUCAGCUGUGUUUCUCUAUUACUUUCCUUAGGAUGCUGUUUUCCUUGCCCGAGGAUCCAGGUUGUUUUAAUCCUGCCUAAUGUCAAAUUUCAUAAAGCUUUUAAAACAUUUCAGGGACUUGAGCCAGUGAGAGUGGAUGAGAAACACGUGCAGGAGGAACUGCAUGCUCAUUAUUAUUUUGUUCUCUACUGAAUGAAGCAAGAUGCAGAUCCUGAAGCUCACAGUGCAAAAGCAGCUUUGAGAACAAUAGAGACAGCAACAUUAGUCAUUGUGCAUGUGAGUGAGGAGCUCUUCCUAGCUCUUCUUUUCCAAAAGGAGAUACCAAUAAGCCAUUUUAAAAAACA
Tympanuchus pallidicinctus (lesser prairie-chicken) is the source of this 2769-nucleotide long non-coding RNA. RefSeq lists it as uncharacterized. The transcript has 2 exons. Lineage: Eukaryota; Metazoa; Chordata; Aves; Galliformes; Phasianidae. The record is from RefSeq and is a predicted model, not a curated record.